ACACUGGAGGGUGUGUCUUAUGGAGAGGUGCUUUUGCCUCUUCCCUGUUUUAGCUAGUCCUCAAUCUGGUCCAGUGUCGAGUCCUGCCUCCUGCCUCACUUCCAGUCCUCCUGUUACAGAUGAAGAAACAAGGGAAACAAGGGCUCAGCAAGAUUCACCCCCACCACCAGCUUCCCGGCAAUGAAUUCUCAAUGAAGCUUUGUUUUCAACGGGCUCUUCCUUGCCUGUGACUCCAGGUGGCAAAUCUGACAUUCUGCUUCCCCUGCACGCCAUGGGCUUCCAGAUCUGAGCCCUUAUGAUGUGCUGAAUUUUUACUGACUUCAGCCCCAAGCUGUCCAGAUAACCAAUUCCAGCUUCUCCGAGCUUCCUCCAAUAUCCACUGCCUGUAACCACUCCUGACACCAACUUCUAUAUAAGGCAAGGUUCUCAGUUGCAGGCAACAGAAACCAGCUCCGGUUAACUUAUGAAGAAACAGAUGUUCAAAGAAUGGAUAUAGAAAAGGAUAUUCAAAGAAUUCCAGGUGACUCAUGCAUUGCUGAGCAGGCUUGGAGACCUGGGUUUCUGGUAUGCAAACAGGAUCAAUCCUCUCCGAUGCAGCCUGAGAUGUGACAGUUGGUGGGUCAGCAGCCAUUCUGUAGUAAUGAGAUGAUAAGGAUGACGAAGAGAUUACAGGAACUCCAGCCCUGCCAUCAUCAAGGCAAGUGUUACUGCCUCUUGAUUUCUUGUUAUGGAAGAAAGAUUAAUGCCUAUUUUUCUUCCCUAAACCACUAUAAAUUGGAUUUUUCUUUG
Long non-coding RNA from Pongo pygmaeus (Bornean orangutan), 789 nucleotides. RefSeq lists it as uncharacterized. The record is from RefSeq and is a predicted model, not a curated record. The transcript is spliced from 3 exons. NCBI's taxonomy places the organism in Eukaryota, Metazoa, Chordata, Mammalia, Primates, Hominidae.